Molecule: ribosomal RNA, 497 nt
Filed under: uncultured bacterium
Lineage: Bacteria
Description: partial 16S ribosomal RNA
Rfam family: Bacterial small subunit ribosomal RNA
Source: RNAcentral
GGCGAACGCUGGCGGCGUGCCUAAUACAUGCAAGUUGAGCGAUGAAGAUUGGUGCUUGCACCAAUUUGAAGAGCAGCGAACGGGUGAGUAACGCGUGGGGAAUCUGCCUUUGAGCGGGGGACAACAUUUGGAAACGAAUGCUAAUACCGCAUAAUAACUUUAAACAUAAGUUUUAAGUUUGAAAGAUGCAAUUGCAUCACUCAAAGAUGAUCCCGCGUUGUAUUAGCUAGUUGGUGAGGUAAAGGCUCACCAAGGCGAUGAUACAUAGCCGACCUGAGAGGGUGAUCGGCCACAUUGGGACUGAGACACGGCCCAAACUCCUACGGGAGGCAGCAGUAGGGAAUCUUCGGCAAUGGACGAAAGUCUGACCGAGCAACGCCGCGUGAGUGAAGAAGGUUUUCGGAUCGUAAAACUCUGUUGGUAGAGAAGAACGUUGGUGAGAGUGGAAAGCUCAUCAAGUGACGGUAACUACCCAGAAAGGGACGGCUAACUACGUG